UAUUAAUCUUAUGUUAUGAAAAUAGGGACCCACCCUUCCCCCCUUUGCCAAUGGUGAUAAACACUGCCUCUUUUCAGCCUCCCUGCCAACGCUUGAUAUGGUAUGACUUAUAUAACGUCCCAAAUCAAGUUUGGAUACACCCGAAGGAUUCAGCGGCCAAAUAGAACAUAAGGCAGUGUUGGUUAUAUAUUUAAACAAAGACAGGUUUCGGAAAAAUAACCACAGUUUAUUAAGCAUGCAUGUAAUUAUUUCAAUUAUACAAUAAUUGAACAUAAUGCUAAAUGAAUUAAGGCAAAUACAAAAUGUAAGUAAUGCAUGAAUACAAAAGAUAAAUGAUGUGUAAUAAAAACUGUGGUUCUCAAACAUCAAGACUAAACUACACAUGAAAAUACAAUGAAUACAAUAUACAUGGUAAACAGUACAAAAAAAAAUAAACCAAACAUGACAAUACAAACUUAAAAGACAGUUCAUGAACUGAUUUUCAUGACAUAUAUAUACAUGAAUGAGGGUCGGGAGGGUGGGAAAAAAAUCUUUAGCCUUAGUUUAAACAAGGUGUUCGCUGCUGCAAGUUAUAUUUUUGAAUGCUGAAACUGCCGAUGAUGCCAGACGAUGAUAAUUUACUUAAAUCUGAUUGGCUAAUUAAUGAGGCGGAAAAUAUGAAUACUAGCUCUUGAUUGGUUGAUAUGAAAUGCCAGACAUAUCAAGGGUACCUAUGCUGCAUCCUGAUUGGUCAAUAUGAAUAACGUUAUGAUAUAGAGGCGCAGGAGAUAUAAACAAUGUACCUAGUUACCAGAUAAGAUUGCAAUGCAAUCACUGCCCUGCGAUUUCAACCAUGUUUAAUAAUAUAUUUAAAUAAAAUAUUCACAUUAAUCUUAUGUUAUGAAAAUAGGGACCCACCCUUCCCCCCUUUGCCAAUGGUGAUAAACACUGCCUCUUUUCAGCCUCCCUGCUAACGCUUGAUAUGGUAUGACUUAUAUAACGUCCCAAAUCAAGUUUGGAUACACCCGAAGCAUUCAGCGGCCAAAUAGAACAUAAGGCAGUGUUGGUUAUAUAUUUAAACAAAGACAGGUUUGGGAAAACUAACCACAGUUU
RNAcentral lists this long non-coding RNA (1092 nucleotides) under Mytilus galloprovincialis (Mediterranean mussel). The record is from RNAcentral. Lineage: Eukaryota; Metazoa; Mollusca; Bivalvia; Mytilida; Mytilidae.